CUUGUUAUUGACCUUGUGACCUUCUUUCACAUUUUUGAGGUACAGGCUUCAAAUUUGGACCAUAUGCAUAGUUUUUGUUCCAAAUUAAAAUUUGACCUUGAUUUUGACCUAGUGACUUACUUUCACAUUUCUUAAGCUACAGCCUUCAAAUUUGAACCACAAGCGUAGUUUUGUGUACUGAAAUGACCUUUGAUCUUAAGAUAGACCUAGUGACCUACUUUCACAUUUCUGAAGGUAGAGGCUUCAAAUUUGGACCACUUGCAUAGUUUUGUGUUCUGAAAAAAUAUUGACUUUGAUUUUGACCCAGUGACCAACUUUCACAUUUCAUAAGCUACAGCCUUCAAAUUUGAACCACAUGCAUAGUUUUGUGUACCGAAAAUUAACUUUGAUCUUGAGAUUGACAUAUUGACCUACUUUCACAUUUCUAAAGGAAGAGGCUUCAAAUUUGGACCACUUGCAUAGUUUUGUGUUCCGAAAUAAAGUUUGACUUUAAUUUUGACCUAGUGACCUUAUUUUACAUUUCUCAAGCUACAUCCUUAAAAUUUGAAGCACAUGCAUAGUUCUGUCUACCGAAAUGAACUUUGACCUUGAAAUUGAUCUAGUGACCUGCUUUCAUAUUUCUCAAUAAAAUCUGUAAAAAGAUCCUUUGGAAGCAAAGAAUACAACCAAGAAGAAUAAUAGCAGACUCGGUUUGAUUGAGUCUGUUCAUGAGAGGUAAUGAAAUGUGCAACACCUCUCACGCCCCCUAGCAACGGCUUAAGCGGAACUCUAUUAUAUAUAUGUUGAAUGGACUCCAUGAUCCCAAAGGACCAGAAAAUAUAACAACACUGAAUCCAAGUACGGGGAGACUUUUUACAGCCGCCACACGGCACUUAAAGAUUGCUGUUGUGAUGGUUAAUAAAAUCUGUAAAAAGAUCCUUUGGAAGCAAAGAAUACAACCAAGAAGAGCAAUAGCAGACUCGGUUUGAUUGAGUCUGUUCAUGAGAGGUAAUGAAAUGUGCAACACCUCUCACGCCACAGCUUUCAAAUUUGGACCACAUUACACAUUGUUUUAUACCGAAAGGAAAUUUGACAUUGAUUUUGACCUUUAUGUAGUCUUGAAAUUUGGAACAUUCAAAAAUGGCUCAGUGUAUGACGCCAAGAUCACUCUGUAAUCUCUUGUUAGGUUAAAGGUCAAGGUCAGAUCAAACCAGAAUGGUACAACUUUUGUUUACAGUGAGCAUAUAAUAUCUGUUCCUUGUGUAAUUACUAAAUGCAUCAAGGGGGCAUUUCGUGUUCGACGAGCUCUUGUUCAACUGAUCUUUAUGAAAUUUAAUCUGAAUGAUAACCUUGAUAAAUUCUAGGCCAGUGUCGAAAAUGGGUUAUCUUAGGUGUAAAAGUAGGUCACAAGGUCAAGUCAAAGAAAAAAACUUGUAUAUGCGGUAUAGACUGUAUUUUCAACUGAUCUUCAUGGAGUUUUGUCAGAAUGAUAACCUUUAUAAAAACAAGGCCAAGUUGAAAAAAAAGGUUAUCUGAGGUCAAAAACUAGGACACUAGGUGAAAUCAAAGAUAAACCUUGUGUAUUCGAUAGAGGCUGUAUUUCUCAAUCGGGGACCUUCGUGGCCGAGUGGUUAGAGUCGUUUACUUCAAACCAUUUGCCACUCAUCGAUGUAGGUUCGAAACCUCAUUUUGGGCGUAGAAUUCUUCACGUGAGGAGAUGGCUUACGGAAGGUCGGUGGUUCUACCCAGGUGCUCGCUCGUGAUGAAAUAGUGCAAGGAGGGGCACCUGGGGUCUUCCUCCACCAUAAAAGCUGGAAAGUCGUCAUAUGACCUAAAAUUGUGUCAGUGCGACGUUAUCCCCAACAAAAUAAAUAAAUAAAUUUUCAAUCAAUUUUCAUGAAUUUUGGUCAGAAUGAUUGCCUUGAUAAAACCUAGGUCAAAAUUAAAUAUAUGGGUCACCCAGGUUCAGAACCUAGGUCACUAUAUCAAAUACGCGAAAAAACCUUAAGCAUGUAAUAGGGGCUGCAUUUUACACCUGAUUUCAGUGAAAUUUAAUCUGAGUGUUUAUCUAUAUAAGAUCUAGAUGGAGUUUGAAUACGGGUCAUUUUAGGGCUAAAACUAUAUCACCCGAUCAAAUUAAAGAAAAAUCUUGUAUACGCUAUAGGGCCUGCAUUUUACACAGGAUAUUUAUAAAAUUUAGUCAAAUGAUUACCAUGAUGAUGUCUAGGUCAGGUUAGAAUAUUGGCCAUAUGUGGUCAAAAACUAAGUCAAAUAAAAUAAAACAUUGUGUAUACAAUAGAGACUGUAGUUUUCAAUUGAUUUUUAUGAAAUUUUGUCAGAAUGAUAGCCUUGAUGAAAUUAAGACGAAAUUUGAAUAUGGUUGUGUGGCGUAAAAAAAAACAACAAAACAGGUCAUUAGGAAAAAUCAAAGAAAAAACAUGAUAUAACGUAUGCAAUAGAGGCUGUAUUUCUCAAUUGAGAUUGAUGACCAAGUUUCAUUAAGAUAUGGUCAUAAAUGUAGCCUCUAAAGUGUAUAAAUAGUUUUUUCUUCGAUCUGACCCAGUGACCUAGUUUUUUACCAGACAUGACACAGAUUCGAACUUGACACAAAGAUCGCCAAAAUUAACAUUCUGACUAAGUUGCGUGAAAAUACAGUUAUAAUUGUGGUCUCUAGAGUGUUAACAAGCUUUUCUUUGAUUGGACCUAGUGACCUCGUUUUUGACCCAACCUAACCCAAAUUAAAACUUGACUUGUAGAUCAUCAAGAUCAACAUUCUGACCAAGUUUCAUUAAGAUAUGAUCAUAAAUGUGGCUUUUCCUUUGAUUUGACCUGGUGACCUAGCUUUAAUUCAUACAUAAUCCAGAUUCAAACUUGUACUUGAUUUGGUCCUAAUGACUGCCUUGAUUACAUCCAUGUCAAAUUAGAAUGUAGGUCUAGUCAAGUACGACAUUUUGCGCUCUGGGGAAAAAAUGAUGUAAUGGUCAUGUUUAACAGCAGCAAGAUUUACAGCAGCAAAAUGGAGAAAAAGAAAAAAAAAAAGAAAAAAAAAUACCAGUCAAUCGGAAAUGUCGUCAAUUUUGAUUUUCAUAACGGUCCGUUGACUUUCGUUAGGUGGCGCAUAUUACCUUAAUGAAAAUUGGUCAGAAUAUUAGUCUCCUUGAAAUCAUUAGGUCAAACAUGUUUACACUGUUAUGGUGUGUUUCUUAGGUGAGCGACUUAGGGCCAUCUUUGCCCCUUUGUUUAUGGUAGUCUUGUGCAGUUUGGCGUAUUCAUUUUGUUUGAAAACUUAUGUGUAGGCAUUUCCAAAAAGCAAUGAAUUUCGGCAAAUAGAAAACUUUGGGUGCAUGUGUUAGCUCACCUGAGCCAAAAAGCUCAGAGUGAGCUAUCGUGAUCCCCUCGUGUCCGGUGUCCGUCCAUUUAACUUCACCAAUUGUGUUUAAAAGACAUAUCUUCCAAAACCGCUGAAUGGAUUUUGAUAAAACUUGGCAUGAAUUUUUCUUGAUGGUCCUCUACUAAAUUUGUUCAAACGGUUCCGCAUGGUUGCACAUAGGGGGCACCAGAGCUAAAAAUAGAAAAAUCUUUAAACGACAUCUUCUAAACUGUUGGACCGAUUUUGAAAUAAUUUCACAGAUGACUGAAAUGGUCUUUAUGUCACCCUCUACUGAGAUAAUUCAGAUUAUACCGAUUCGUCAGAAAUAUGGCUGCCAGGGGCCAUGGUCACUUUUCCCUAUAUGUGUUUGGUGGAAAUUUAAAAAUCUUCUUGAGUAAAACGGCUGGCCCGGUUCUAAAACAUUUCUGCACAAAUGGUCCCUGUGUGACUCUCUACCAAAAUUGUUGAAAUUAUACCGAUUCGUAAAAAAAAUGGCUCCCAGGGGGCUUGGUCACUUUUCUCUAUAUGUAUAUAGUGGAAAUAAAACAAAUAAAGAAACCUUCGUGUGUGAAACGACUGGCCCGAUUUUAAAAUGAUUUUACGCAAACCUGAACGAAUUUAGAUGAAACUUUACACAAGGAUCUCUGGGUAGAUUUUUGCCCUAAGGUUAAUACAAACAUGUCACGGACCACAUGUGUCUGACAUGUACUUACUAUAGACUUUUAUAUGAGCCGUGCCAUAGGAAAACCAACAUGAUAGUGGUUUGCGACCAGCAUGGAUCCAGACCAGCCUGCGCACCCGCACAGUCUGGUCAGGAUCCAUGUUGUUCGCUUUCAAAGCAUAUUGCAAUUAGAGAAACUGUUAGCGAACAGCAUAGAUCCUGACCAGACUGCGCUGGUCGCAAAGCCACUAUGCUGCUUUUCUCAUGGCGUGGCUCAUAUAAGAAACUUUGAAAAUCAAUAAUAACCAGAGUCUUGAAAUUUGUUGUGUGAUAUUGGAUUUGUAAUUUCUACAGCAGUUGAUUAAUUUAUUGCCCUAGGUUUAAAACUGUGUGUAAUAGGUAUAUAAUAUAGGCUAACAUGGCAGAAACCUAACUAUGUACUAACACAAACACACUAGAAGCCUUGUAUACAGGUGAGCGCGUUAGUAGAGAUUCAUUGUGUUUUGUAUAACUAAUGCAGUUAUUUAAUGAAUUGAAUGAUAUCAUUUUACAUAUCUACCUAAAUUUGAUUCAGUUUUAACACAUCUGUACAAUAUGAAUGAAUAGAUGUUUCACGAGUAAGAUUUAUUAGUAUUACAUCGCAAAAAAGGGGCUAAGAACUGUAAAAUAAAUUUGACACAAUUACCGUAAGCUUCCAAAAGUUAAAUUUAUAUUUGCUUCUUAACUUAAAAAAGGAAGACAGAUGGCAUUAUGCGCAUCUUACUGCACAUGGUGUGUUUUGGUGAAUGUUUUAUAGAAGCAAUUUUCGGCUGCUACAUCAAGGAUUGUGCCUACUACUGCAUUAUUUUAAUAGUAUAAUUCACACAGUAAACAAAUUGUCUUGGCCUUAUAUUUGUCUCUAUCAAUUUGUAAAUAGAUAUUAUGUUAUUUCUCAUUUUCUUCAAGCAAAGCAUGUACAAAAAUUAUCAUCUUGGAAAUGUUAUUUUGUGGUGAGUUUUUAAUGAAAAUUGGUCACAAUAUUUGUCUCCGUGAAUUCACUAGGUCAUCCAUGUUUACACUGUUACUGUAUGUUACUCAGGUUAGCGACCUAGGGCUAUGUUGGUAUUCUUGUCAUUAAUUUUACACAAUGAUUGACAUUAAUUUUGUUUCUGUAAUUUUCGAUUCUGUGUGCCGUGACUAAGGCAGUAGUCUUGUUUAUCAAUGAUGCGGAAGGACCGUAAACGCGGUUUCAAACACUUUUAUAUGUUUUGAGUAUUGAUGAUAAUGGAGGGUGCUAUCUGCCAUAUUAUAAAUAGCUAUAUCAUAUUGCUAAAUACUUAUCGAAUGCACUUAAAUUGCAAACAUAUUUACUAGCUCAUUUCUGAUUACAAAGUUAAUUCACAUACAUUAAAACUUUUAUGUUCAUGUUACUUAAUUGAAUUUUGCAAGUUGUACAAUCCUGCAUUACAUUUUCUAGACGACGUUACAUUUUCUAUACGACGUUACAUUUUCUAUACGACGUUACUUUCUUAAUGUGAAGUAACAUUCAUAAUUACAUUCUUACUCACAUUUUUUAGCUUUUAGCUCAUCUGAUUUUUUUUGAAAAAAUAAAGAGUUUUAUCAUUACUUGAUCGGCGUCGGCGUUGCCUGGUUAAUUUUUGUGUUUAGGUCGUUUAAUCCUAAAUAAUCGAAACUUGCAACACUUGUUCACCAUCAAUAGCUGACUAUGUACAACAAGAAACAUGACUCAAUCCUGCUUUUUGCAAGAAUCAUAGGCUCCUUUUGGACUUAUAAAAUAGCGUAACAACACAUGGGUAGGAUGAUAUUUCUAUUAUGCAGAGAUAAACAAAUCAGAAUAGCGUAUGCACCCACAAAGUGAUGCUCUUGUAAUUAAGAAAUUAUAUAUCUCAUUUAAUGAUAUGGCGCUGAAUAAAAUCAUUGAUUGAAGUUGUUUGGAGUUCAGAUGCGAAGGAAUUUUUACACAGGCUACAUUCUUAUUAUGACAUUUAUAGUCUUAAUUCAAUUCUUUUAAUGACAUGUCAUUGUUAAUUUCUAAAUUUCAUUCUGAAUAAAACGCCAUGUCAACUUCAAUUUGUCAUGUCAGAUUACGAAAACAUAUUCACAUUUAGAAUAUUAUGCCACAAUUAGAAUUUUAUUUGGAAUAGAACAUCAAAUAAAGUAUGUGUAUGACUAGUGGUAGGCCACAUUAAGAAUGUGAUUUAAAAUAGAACAUCAAAUAAAGUAUGUGUAUGACUAGUGGUAGGUCACAUUAAGAAUGUGAUUUAGAAUAGAACAUCAAAUAAAGUAUGUGCAUGACUAUUCAAAUUGGUAGGUCACAUUAAGAAUGUUAUUAAGAAUGAACUUAUGUAACAUUAUGUUAGCUAGUAUCAAGUGUCAAAUUUAAUUGAUAAAGUCAAUGCCCUUGAAGGGCAUUUGACAAUAACAUAAAUAGUUUUUUCGUAACCGGGCCCCUUUGUAAAAACAAUAUAUUUGCAAAUAUCAAAGUACGCGAAGAACUUCUGCACGAUCUCUAUUUCAUGCGUGCUUCGAUAUUUGCAAAUAUACUGUUUUUUAAAAGUGCACCAGUUACGAUAAAACAACAAUGAAUAAUAACUCCGUGUGUAACAGGCACGUAUUUCCAUAGUAACUGUUAAUUUAUAUUGUUGCGGAUAUUACCUUCCAUAUCUGAUACAUUUUCUGGAUUAUUGAAAACAAUGUUGUAUGAUUCAUACAUGCAUGCCAUAUAUUAUAAGUACUUGUACAUAGGUUUGUUUUAUAUGUAUAAAGGAAUUUAUGUUGAAUAGGUUUCUUAUGCAUAUUACGCUAUUUCCAUAGAAAAUGUUAUUUUAUAUCAUUUUAACAUUAAUGAUGAACAUAUUUAAAAAGAGGAUAUCCUAUGAGUGCAAAUUUAAUACUGUAGUUUUUGAAUGAGUUGAAUUCACAGCUUAUAACAAUACUGCCAUUUUUGAUACACUUAAUUAAAGAAUAAACAUUAUCUUAGAUAUCAUGAUAGGGCCUAAAUCAAGUUUUUUCAUUUUUGUCGACGGUGUACGAAUUCAGGUCAUGAUAUAUGCACGGCUGCGCUGUAUCAGUUUUGUGAUAAUAUUUCAUGAAACGUAUAAUGCUUUUUGCAGAGUAUUGAUUUCACUCAUUGUGAUAUGCUUGUAUAUUUUGUUUUAUUUUGAUGACUAUUUUGAUCAUGCAUGACAUUGUACAGGCUCUAUGUCAGAAAAAAAUGUAAUAUUUUGCAGUAUGAUAUGUCAAAAUUGUGCAAAUUCUUUAUUCACAAUCCAUAAAAAUAUACAAGUAAUAAAUAGAUGUAACUGAG
Molecule: long non-coding RNA, 7317 nt
Organism: Mercenaria mercenaria
Lineage: Eukaryota; Metazoa; Mollusca; Bivalvia; Venerida; Veneridae
Exons: 2
Source: RefSeq, a predicted model, not a curated record